AGCUGAAUGUUGAAUGCACAACAACUAUAUGAUAAUGAUGCAGGUAUGAUCGACGGUUUAAUUACCCAAGUUUGAGGUAAUUGAAUGUUUCGGCCCAGAGUUUAGGCUACUGUGGCUUGAAGUAAAAUUUUGGAACGUCCUGCAUAUUUGUGGGACAAUAA
Molecule: unclassified non-coding RNA, 161 nt
Filed under: Brugia patei
Lineage: Eukaryota; Metazoa; Nematoda; Chromadorea; Rhabditida; Onchocercidae
Description: partial miscellaneous RNA
Rfam family: SL1 RNA (bases 55-159)
Source: RNAcentral